AGUUCCCUGGAGUCAUGGAUCCUGGAUUUUGGACACAUUUUAUAGUCUAUUUAAGGUGUUCUUGGAUCAGGUACAGAAGGCAGUUCCUCUUCCUCAUCACUGACCAGCUGCAACUGCAUGCUUUUACCACCUGAAGCGUCACAGCUGCCCUGCUGCAGUUGUGCUUCAGCCAAAUCCCUCUCAGACGGCUGUUUGGAGCCACUGACCAACUCCCUUCCAGACAUACCUGGAACUGUUUCAUCCUCCUCUAAAAUGACAUCUGGAGAAGCACCUGGGCAAGUGUCCGGGGGAGUCAUCACACUUGGAUAGGAAAGAGAAAGGAAAGAGAAACACAUGAACAUGUGCCUGAUAUUAUGAUAACAACUUUUUACAUCCUAUUUUCUGAGAAUCCCCAUCUGUCAAAUGUUAUUGUAUGGUACAUCUUUAAAGCUUUCCCAAGCCAUCUUGUACUCUAAAUUCCCCACAGCAAUGAAUCAUGAAAAGGCUGUACUGUUUUUGUGCCUUAUUAAUUAAAACAUUUACAGCUUGAGCUGUAUUUAUUUUUGACUAACAAAUGCUCUGCAAACUGUUAGUAUCUCAUCAGUCAGAAAAGAAGGCAGAAGGCAGCUGGGCUUCACUUUGGGAAUGAUCUUUGGAGAAGCAGGCCAAAAAGCCCUCAUGAAAGGAACAGGAGUGCAGCAACAAUACUCCCAGGCAAUUUACCAUCUCAACUGAACACAAGCAACACAACUAUUUGAUGUGCCUAAAGACCUAAAAGUGGUACACAAGAUAAUAACUACAAAAAAAAUACUGUUCCAAAAGCA
Pantherophis guttatus is the source of this 803-nucleotide long non-coding RNA. RefSeq lists it as uncharacterized. The record is from RefSeq and is a predicted model, not a curated record. Lineage: Eukaryota; Metazoa; Chordata; Lepidosauria; Squamata; Colubridae.